AAAACCUUAAGUUAUAAAAACUAUGGGCCUUCAAAGCCUAAAUUAGAAUCAUUUGUUCUAGGUUUUG
Molecule: transfer RNA, 67 nt
Filed under: Melinna cristata
Lineage: Eukaryota; Metazoa; Annelida; Polychaeta; Terebellida; Melinnidae
Description: tRNA-Trp
Source: RNAcentral